RNAcentral lists this ribosomal RNA (767 nucleotides) under Salmonella enterica subsp. enterica serovar Kentucky. RNAcentral's name for it is "partial 23S ribosomal RNA". It matches the Rfam family "Bacterial large subunit ribosomal RNA", at positions 566 to 1315 of the family's 2925-position model. Lineage: Bacteria; Pseudomonadati; Pseudomonadota; Gammaproteobacteria; Enterobacterales; Enterobacteriaceae. The record is from RNAcentral.
CGACGCCCAACACACAAAACAAGCGGUGAGUGCUUUGGGGUGGGGUGACUGCGUACCUUUUGUAUAAUGGGUCAGCGACUUAUAUUCUGUAGCAAGGUUAACCGUAUAGGGGAGCCGAAGGGAAACCGAGUCUUAACUGGGCGUUAAGUUGCAGGGUAUAGACCCGAAACCCGGUGAUCUAGCCAUGGGCAGGUUGAAGGUUGGGUAACACUAACUGGAGGACCGAACCGACUAAUGUUGAAAAAUUAGCGGAUGACUUGUGGCUGGGGGUGAAAGGCCAAUCAAACCGGGAGAUAGCUGGUUCUCCCCGAAAGCUAUUUAGGUAGCGCCUCGUGAACUCAUCUUCGGGGGUAGAGCACUGUUUCGGCUAGGGGGUCAUCCCGACUUACCAACCCGAUGCAAACUGCGAAUACCGAAGAAUGUUAUCACGGGAGACACACGGCGGGUGCUAACGUCCGUCGUGAAGAGGGAAACAACCCAGACCGCCAGCUAAGGUCCCAAAGUCACAGUUAAGUGGGAAACGAUGUGGGAAGGCUCAGACAGCCAGGAUGUUGGCUUAGAAGCAGCCAUCAUUUAAAGAAAGCGUAAUAGCUCACUGGUCGAGUCGGCCUGCGCGGAAGAUGUAACGGGGCUAAACUGUGCACCGAAGCUGCGGCAGCGACGCUUAUGCGUUGUUGGGUAGGGGAGCGUUCUGUAAGCCUGCGAAGGUGUCCUGUGAGGGAUGCUGGAGGUAUCAGAAGUGCGAAUGCUGACAUAAGUAACGAUAA